UAUUUUGCAGCCUCUAUCUCGUAUGUUAUUUCAACUUUGAGCUCCGUGCUAAGUGCUACUGUUGCCAGAAUAAGAAUGGCGAAUGUUACAAGACGAAGAGUGAGUGCCUGCAGAAGUGCCAUUCCUACAACGGUUAAUGCCCACCUUCAUCGGGGUCUCUGGGAUAGAAUUCCAUAUGCUCCGAAAAUUUGUCCAUCGGUAAUAAAAGGCACCUUAUAUGGUUUGGGCAAUUAGGUGCCAAUUAAACAUUAGAUAGCCCGUAUGUUUCCGUGGAGAUCCAACAAGGAAAAAUUUGAUGAAAGAAAUCCGAGUAACUAGUUGCUUGCAUAUUUACAAAGUUCAAAUCCUUUGGUUGUGGUGCUUUGACUCGAUUGUCUAUUAUGCUCUUUCAUCUACAUGCACAUCGCCUACUUGUUUAUUUAACACACAUCACCGAGUUGGUGAUUUGCCAGUUGUGGGAUGACAGUCAUGUAGAAUUGUAAUAGCACUGACAUGGAAAAAUUUAAAAACUGAAAAAAGUAAAUCCAAUAAACAAAUGGUGUGCAAACUAAAUCAGACGGCUUAAGACAAGUGAGAUUUAGUCAGGACUCUUUCAGAUGAAGAUAAGCAAAUUGCAAGAAAACAACAUGCAGAAAAAAAUUUAUAUCAUAGCAUAACUAGCAAAAAAGCACAUAGUACAACGACAACCCACGUAUCUAUAUGCUAUCUUUAUGUAUAUCUAUUUAUAUCUAUCUAUCUAUCUAUCUAUCUAUCUAUCUAUCUAUCUAUCUAUACCUACUAAUAAAAUACGGAGCAUUUAUGCCCAUCCGUCUCAUGUUUUGCAAGAAAAUACCCUACUUUUUUCUUUAAUUAACCCGCGGUCCAGGUUUAUGCGAGGUUCGUCCGUUGUGUUUUUUGCAAAGAACGAGGAAACGGUUGCGUUUUGUGAGAUUCAAACUCAUGAUGUCCCCUCCAUGCCCAAAAGCCACAACCAACUGACUUAGCAUGCGCUUGUGCUAUCAAAUAGGUCCAUUAUUUCAUUAAAUUGUCCAACCUUGAUUCUUUGCAUGAGAAAACGCUAAUUUAUAUGUGAUUGCAAAUUGCCUGGAAAUCAACAAGCCAACUUGAUAACCUAGAAAUAGAGGGAAAGGAGGAAUUCACUAUAUAAAUAGUGUUAACUAGCAGGGUUUCCCGCGCAUUUGCGCGGCUAGAUUAACCCUUUCCGAUGCUAACUAUAUGGCCUUUCACUAAACUAUGUUUUGAUUAAAUUUACACCCUGUAUAUGUCAUCAUAGCAAAAAUGAAAAUCAUAAUGAAACAUGCAAGUGCAUUAGGUUGUUCUUUUUAAUAUAAAAGUGCAUUAGGUUUUUAAAUAAAUUCCUUGGCAUGUCAGGUCACAACACCGAUAAAAAACCAUGUAUGGGCUUUCAUGCCAAAAUUGGUGUUUUUCCUCUUUGAUCCACUCCACCUUUGUAUCAUUGAAUAGGUUUUCGAGAAAUUCCCUACCAAGACUUAAAUUUAAAUAUGAAAUUCCGGUAUGUAAAGGUCCCUUCUUCUAGCCAUAUCAAUGAAUGGACGCAUUCUUAAUUACCUUUUCUUGAUUAAUGCUGCCUACCCACUUAAGUAUCAAGAGAUUCACAUCUUCUAUGGUGCUUAUUUUUUCUAUUGAUAAUAUUUUACCAUUGAACUGGACGACUCCUUUGAUGAGACUAGCACGCGUUUUUUGCGGCGAACCCAGGAGUUUGAGGUCAAGGAGGCGCUAAAAAGGAUGAAACGAGGCAAGGCGAUGGGCCCUGAUUGUAUCGCAAUUGAGGUAUGGAAAGGCCUCGGGGACAUAGCGAUAGUAUGGAUAACCAAGCUUUUCAACCUCAUUUUUAAGGCAAACAAGUUGCCAGAAGAAUGGGGACGGAGUAUAUUGAUGUCUACUACGCAACCUUCUUCUUGUAGACGUUGUUGGGCCUCCAAGUGCAGAGGUUUGUAGGACAGUAGCAAAUUUCCCUCAUGUGGAUGACCUAAGGUUCAUCAAUCCAUGGGAGGCAUACGAUGAAGAUGGUCUCUCUCAAGCAACCCAGCAACCAAAUAACAAAGAGUCUCUUGUGUCCCCAACACACCCAAUACGAUGGUAAAUUGUAUAGGUGCACUAGUUCGGCGAAGAAAUGGUGAUACAAGUGCAAUAUGGAUGGUAGAUAUAGGUUUUUAUAAUCUGAUAAUAUAAAAACAGCAAGGUAACUAAUGAUAAAAGUGAGUGUAAACGGUAUUGCAAUGCUAGGAAACAAGGCCUAAGGUUCAUACUUUCACUAGUGCAAGUUCUCUCAACAGUAAUAACAUAAUUGGAUCAUAUAACUAUCCCUCAACAUGCAACAAAGAGUCAGUCCAAAGUCACUAAUAGCGGAGAACAAACGAAGAGAUUAUUGUAGGGUACGAAACCACCUCAAAGUUAUCCUUUCUGAUCGAUCUAUUCAAGAGUCCAUAGUAAAAUAACACGAAGCUAUUCUUUCCGUUCGAUCUAUCAUAGAGUUUGUACUAGAAUAACACCUUAAGACACAAAUCAACCAAAUCCCUAAUGUCACCUAGAUACUCCAAUGUCACCUCAAGUAUCCAUGGGCAUGAUUAUACGAUAUACAUCACACAAUCUCAGAUUCAUCUAUUCAACCAACACAAAGUACUUCAAAGAGUGCCCCAAAAUUUCUACCGGAGAGUCAAGACGAAAACGUGUGCCAACCCCUAUGCAUAAGUUCACAAGGUCACUGAACCCGCAAGUUGAUCACCAAAACAUACAUCAAGUAGAUCACGUGAUAUCCCAUUGUCACCACAGAUAAGCACAUGCAAGACAUGCAUCAAAUGUUCUCAAAUCCUUAAAGACUCAAUCUGAUAAGAUAACUUCAAAGGGAAAACUCAAUACAUUACAAGAGAGUAGAGGGGGAGAAACAUCAUAAGAUCCAACUAUAAUAGCAAAGCUCGCGAUACAUCAAGAUUGUGCCAAAUCAAGAACACGAGAACGAGAGAUCAAACACAUAGCUACUGGUACAUACCCUCAGCCCUGAGGGUGAACUACUCCCUCCUCGUCAUGGAGAGUGCUGUGAUGAUGAAGAUGGCCACCGGUGAGGGAUCCCCCCUCCGGCAGGGUGCCGGAACAAGGUCCUGAUUGGUUUUUGGUGGCUACAGAGGCUUGCGAUGGUGGAACUCCUGAUCUAUUGUGCUCUCCGAUGUUUUUAGGGUAUAUGGACAUAUAUAGGCGAAAGAAGUCAGUUAGGGGAGCCACAAGGGGCCCACGAGGGUGGGGGUUCGCCCAGGGGUUAGGGCGUGCCUCCCUUCCUCGUGGCCACCUCGAAGCUUCCCCGACUUCCACUCCAAGUCUCCUGGAUUGCUUCCGUUCCAAAAAUAACUCUCCCGAAGGUUUCAUUCCAUUUGGACUCCGUUUGAUAUUCCUUUUCUUCCAAACACUGAAAUAGGCAAAAAAAUAGCAAUUUGGGCUGGGCCUACGGGUAAUAGGUUAGUCCCAAAAAUAAUAUAAAAGUGUAUAGUAAAGCCCAUAAACAUCCAGAACUGGUAAUAUAAUAGCAUGGAACAAUCAAAAAUUAUAGAUACGUUGGAGACGUAUCAAGCAUCCCCAAGCUCAAUUCCUGCUUGUCCUCGAGUAGGUAAAUGAUAAAAACUGAAUUUUUGAUGUGGAAUGCUACCUAGCAUAAUUCUGAAUGUAAUUUUCUUCAUAGUGGCAUGAAUGUUCAGAUCCUGGAUUCAAGAUAAAAGUUCAUAUUGACAUGAAAACAAUAAUUCUUCAAGCAUACUAACAAAGCAAUCAUGUCUUCUCAAAAUAACAUGGCGAAAGAAAGCUAUCCCUACAAAAUCAUAUAGUCUGGUGCUAUGUCUUGAGCUUGCGUUGGCUUUCCUUGAAGAGGAAAGGGUGAUGCAGCAAUAAUAGCGUAAGUAUUUCCCUCAGUUUUUGAGAACCAAGUUAUCAAUCCAGUAGGAGGGUCCUCAAAAGUCCCACGCACCUACACAAACAAACAAAGAACUCGCAACCAACGCAAUAAAGGGGUUGUCAAUCCCUUCACGGCCACUUGCGAAAGUGAGAUCUGAUAGAGAUAGUAUGAUAAGAUAAAUAUAUUUUUGGUAUUUUAUAAGAUAGAUGCAAAAAGUAAAGAUGCAAAUAAAAGUAGAUUGAAAGCUUAUAUGAUAAAAUAUGGACCCUGGGGGCCAUAGGUUUCACUAGUGGCUUCUCUCAAGAUAGCAUAAGUAUUACGGUGGGUGGACAAAUUAUUGUCGAGCAAUUGAUAGAAAAGCGAAUAAUUAUGAGAUUAUCUAGGCAUGAUCACGUAUAUAGGAAUCACGUUCAUGACAAGUAGACCGACUCCUGCCUGCAUCUACUACAAUUACUCCACACAUCGACCGCUAUCCAAUAUGCAUCUAGAGUAUUAAGUUCAUAAGAACAGAGUAACACAUGAAGAAAGAUGACAUGAUGUAGAGGGAUAAACUCACGCAAUAUGAUAUAAACCCCAUCUUUUUAUCCUCGAUGGCAACAAUACAAUACGUGCCUUGCAACCCCUGCUGUCACUGGGUAAGGACACCGCAAGAUUGAACCCAAAGCUAAGCACUUCUCCCAUGGCAAGAACGAUCAAUCUAGUAGGCCAAACCAAACUGAUAAUUCGAAGAGACUUGCAAAGAUAUAACUCAAUCAUACAUAAAAGAAUUCAGAGAAGAUUCAAAUAUUUCUCAUAGAUAAACUUGAUCAUAUUCCUAUAAUUCAUCGGAUAUCUACAAACACACCGCAAAAAGAGUUUACAUCGAACAGAUCUCCACAAGAGAGGGGGAGAACAUUGUAUUGAGAUCCAAAAAGAGAAAAGAAGCCAUCUAGCUUAUAACUAUGGACCCGAAGGUCUGUGGUAAACAACUCACAACUCAUCGGAGGGGCUAUGGUGUUGAUGUAAAAGCCCUCCGUGGUCGAUUCCCCCUCCGGCGGAGCGCCGGUGAAGGCUCCAAGAUGGGAUCUCACGAAUACAGAAUGUUACGGCGGUGGAAAUUGUUUUUCGUUGGCUCCCUGGAUGUUUUCGCGGUACGUGGGUAUAUAUAGGAGGAAGAAGUACGUCGGUGGCCGCUCGAGGGGCCCAGGAGACAAUGGGUGCGCCCAGGAGUGGUGGGCGUGUCCUCCUAUCUCCUGGCCUCCUCGAUUGCUUAUUGACUUGCACUCCAAGUCCUCUGGAUCAUGUUCGUUCCAAAAAUCACGCUCCCGAAGGUUUCGUUCCAUUUGGACUCCGUUUGAUAUUCCUUUUCUUCGAAAUACUGAAAUAGGCACAAAAAAAACAGCAAUACGGGCUGGGCCUCUGGUUAGUAGGUUAGUCCCAAAAAUGAUAUAAAUGUGUAAAAUAAACCCAUAAACAUCCAAAAGGGGUAAUAUAAUAGCAUGGAACAAUAAAAAAUUAUAGAUACGUUGGAGACGUAUGAAGCAUCUCCAAGCUUAAUUCCUUCUCGUCCUCGAGUAGGUAAAUGAUAAAAACAGAAAUUUUGAUGUGGAAUGCUACCUAGCAUAUUUCUCAAUGUAAUUUUCUUUAUUGUGGCAUGAAUGUUCAGAUCCAAAUGAUUCAAAAUAAAAGUUCAUAUUGAUAAAAGAAAUAGUAAUACUUCAAGCAUACUAAUCAAAGCAAUCAUGUCUUCUCAAAAUAACAUGGCUAGAGAAAGUUCAUCCAUACAAAAUCAUAUAGUUAGGCUAUGCUACAUUUUUGUCACAUAAAAAUGUUCCCAAAUUCUACACCCCCGAUGACAAGCCAAGAAAUUGUCUCAUACUUAAAUAAUCUCAAACUUUUUCAACUUUCACGCAAUACAUGAGCGUGAACCAUGGAUAUAGCACUAUGGGUGGAAUAGAAUAUGAUAAUGGGGAUUGUGUGGAGAAGACAAAAAAAGAGAAAGUCUCACAUUGACGAGGAUAAUCAACGGGCUAUGGAGAUGCCCAUCAAUUGAUGUCAAUAUGAGGAGUAGGGAUUGCCAUGCAACGGAUGCACUAGAGCUAUAAAUGAAUGAAAGCUCAAAAAAAGAAAACUAGUGGGUGUGCAUCUGAUGACCAACAAGUAUAGGGGAUCUAUCGUAGUCCUUUCGAUAAGUAAGAUUGUCGAACCCAACGAGGAGCAGAAGGAAAUGAUAAGCGGUUUUCAGCAAGGUAUUCUCUGCAAGUACUGAAAUAAGUGGUAACAGAUAGUUUUGUGAUAGGAUAAAUGGUAACGAGCAACAAGUAACAAAAGUAAAUAAAGUGCAGCAAGGUGGCCCAAUCCUUUUUGUAGCAAAGGACAAGCCUGGACAAACUCUUAUAAUAGGAAAAUUGCUCCCGAGGACACAUGGGAAUAUCGUCAAGCUAGUUUUCAUCACGCUCAUAUGAUUCGCGUUCGGUACUUUGAUAAUUUGAUAUGUGGGUGGACCGGUGCUUGGGUACUGCCCUUACUUGGACAAGCAUCCCACUUAUGAUUAACCUCUAUUGCAAGCAUCCGCAACUACAACAAAAGUAUUAAGGUAAACCUAACCAUAGCAUGAAACAUAUGGAUCCAAAUCAGCCCCUUACGAAGAAACGCAUAAACUAGGGUUUAAGCUUUUGUCACUCUAACAACCCAUCAUGUACUUAUUACUUCCCAAUGCCUUCCUCUAGGCCCAAAUAAUGGUGAAGUGUUAUGUAGUCGACAUUCACAUAACACCACUAGAGGUUAGACAACAUACAUCUUAUCAAAAUAUCGAACGAAUACCAAAUUCACAUGACUACUAAUAGCAAGACUUCUCCCUUGUCCUCAGAAACAAACGUAAUUACUCACAAAGCAUAUUCAUGUUCAUAGUCAGAGGGGUAAUAAUAUGCAUAAAGGAUCUGAACAUAUGAUCUUCCACCAAAUAAACCAACUAGCAUCAACUACAAGGUGUAAUCAACACUACUAGCAACCUACUAGCACCAAUCCCGGACUUGGAGACAAGAAUUGGAUACAAGAGAUGAACUAGGGUUUGGAGAUGAGAUGGUGCUGGUGAAGAUGUUGAUGGAGAUUGCCCUCUCCCGAUGAGAGGAGCGUUGGUGAUGACGAUGGUGAUGAUUUCCCCCUCCCGGAGGGAAGUGUCCCCGGCAGAACAGCUCUGCUGGAGCCCUAGAUUGGUUCCGCCAAGGUUCCGCCUUGUGGCGGCGGAGUCUCAUCCCGAAAGGUUGCCUUCUACUUUUUUCUCAUCGAAAGACUUCAUAUAGGAGAAGAUGGGNNNNNNNNNNNNNNNNNNNNNNNNNNNNNNNNNNNNNNNNNNNNNNNNNNNNNNNNNNNNNNNNNNNNNNNNNNNNNNNNNNNNNNNNNNNNNNNNNNNNNNNNNNNNNNNNNNNNNNNNNNNNNNNNNNNNNNNNNNNNNNNNNNNNNNNNNNNNNNNNNNNNNNNNNNNNNNNNNNNNNNNNNNNNNNNNNNNNNNNNNNNNCCUCGUGAGCAGGGUGUGGGCCCCCUGGCCUUCAUCUUUGGCGACGAUUUUUCUUUAUUUAUUUUAAGACAUUCCGUGGAGUUUCAAGACUUUUGGAGUUGCGCUUGAUAGUCCUUCAAUAUUUGCUCCUUUUCCAGCCCAGAAUUCCAGCUGCCGGCAUUCUCCCUCUUCAUGUAAACCUUGUAAAAUAAGAGAGAAUAGCCAUAAGUAUUGUGACAUAACGUGAAAUAACAGCCCAUAAUUCAAUAAAUAUUGACAUAAAAGCAUGAUGCAAAAUGGACGUAUCAACUCCCCCAAGCUUAGACCUCGCUUGUCCUCAAGCGAAAAGCUGAUAACAAUAAUUAUGUCCUCAUGUUUAGAGGUAGGGGUGUCGAUAAAAAUAAAAUACGGACAUGAAGGCAUCAUGAUUAUUUCAUAAAAGCGACAUAUAUAGAUUUUGUCAUAUGGUUACUCAUGUUUAAGUGAUGAUCUUUUCACAAAGCCAAAGUAUGAAUCAGAAAACUUAUUGAGCACCAACAAAUUAUAAUCUCAGUCAUUGAAGCAAUUGCAAUUUAUCAUAACAUCGGAAAGAGUCUAUGUCACAUCUUAAAAGCAAGUCCACAUACUCAACUAUCACCUAGUCCUUCAUAAUUGCUAACACUCACGCAAUACUUGUGGUUACGGAGUUUUAAUCGGACAUAGAGAAAGAUAGGGGUUUAUAGUUUUGCCCCACAACUUUUUACCUCAAGCGUAAUGUCAACAAUAAUAAUUCAUGCUCCCCCACAUCCAAUUAGAUAUAUAUAUAUCAUGUUCUUUCCAACAUGCUGAGCUUGCCAAAGGAUAAAAUAAAAAGGAAAAGGUGAAGAUCACCGUGACUCUUGCAUAA
RNAcentral lists this long non-coding RNA (8262 nucleotides) under Triticum aestivum (bread wheat). Its description in RNAcentral is "long non-coding RNA (TAES_LNC002293)". Lineage: Eukaryota; Viridiplantae; Streptophyta; Magnoliopsida; Poales; Poaceae. The record is from RNAcentral.